AAUACUAACCAUUUACCGAUAGUGAACAAGUACUGUGAAGGAAAGGUGAAAAGAACCCGGAGACGGGAGUGAAAUAGAUCAUGAAACCUUUAGCCUACAAAGAGCCAGAGCACAUUUAUGUGUAAUGGCGUGCGUUUUGAAGUAUGAGCCGGCGAGUUAUUGUUGCAUGCAAGGUUAAGCCGACAAAAGCGGAGCCUAAGCGAAAGCGAGUACUAACUGUGCGUUUUAGUAUGUGGCAAUAGACCCGAAACAGAGUGAGCUAUCCAUGGGCAGGUUGAAGGCGGGGUAAAACCCUCUGGAGGACCGAACCGACUACCGUUGAAACGUUAGCGGAUGACUUGUGGAUAGGGGUGAAAUUCCAAUCGAACUCUGUGAUAGCUGGUUCUCGCCGAUAUAGUUUUAGGACUAGCGUUGGAUUAUUGAUGUCUCGGAGGUAAAGCACUGAAUUCAUGAUGGCGCUCUCUGAGUGUACUGAAUGAAAUUAAACUCUGAAUGCCGUUUCAUCUACUCCAGCAGUGAGACUACGGGGGAUAAGCUUCGUGGUCGUGAGGGAAAGAGCCCAGAUCAACAAAUAAGGUCCCUAAAUUUAGCUAAGUGGAAAAGGAAGUAUCAAUUCAUAAACAACUAGUAUGUUGGCUUAGAAGCAGCCAUCAUUUAAAGAGUGCGUAAUAGCUCACUAGUCUAGUUUUUUUGCACCGACAGUAUAACGGGGCUAAGCUAAAUACCGAAUUUUUGAACUCCAAGAAACCAGCCGUAUUAUUGGAGUGGUAGGCGAGUGUCAUAUAGGCGAUGAAGCUUGAGCGUGAGUACAAGUGGAGCCUACAUGAGUAAGAAUGCCGGCGUGAGUAACGUAUGAAAGUGAAAAUCUUUCUAGCCGAAUGACUAAGGUUUCCAGGGCAAGGGUCGUCCUCCCUGGGUUAGUCGGACCUAAGAUGAGGCCGAAAGGCGUAGUCGAUGGACAGCGAGUUAAUAUUCUUGCACUCAUCUAUUUGGCGAAGGGAUGACAGAAGAGGUUAAUAUGUGCGGGUUAAUGGAUUCCCGUUUAAAUCACAAGUAGGAGAAGCAGGCAAACCCACUUCUCAAAAAACUAUGAGUGGUGAAUAGGAGCGAAAGAGGAAACUCAAGUAGCGAAGUCAUAUACAUCAUAUUCUCAAGAAAAGUCUCUAGCAUUCAACAAAUAGGUAUCCGUACCGAGAACGAACACACGUGGUCAUAGAGAAAAUCCUCAGGCUAUCGAGAUAACUACAGUUAAGGAACUCUGCAAAAUCACCCCGUAACUUAGGGAGAAGGGGUGCCUGCGUGAUGCAGGCCACAGUAAAGAAUGAGGGGGGACUGUUUAACAAAAACAUAGCUAUAUGCAAAAACGAAAGUUAAAGUAUAUGUGGCGACACCUGCCCAGUGCCAGAAGGUCAAUGAAGGCCGUUAGCGAAAGCGAAGCGUCUAACUUAAGCCCUGGUGAACGGCGGCCGUAACUAUAACGGUCCUAAGGUAGCGAAAUUCCUUGUCAGGUAAAUUCUGUCCCGCUUGAAUG
RNAcentral lists this ribosomal RNA (1531 nucleotides) under uncultured Mycoplasma sp. Its description in RNAcentral is "partial 23S ribosomal RNA". It matches the Rfam family "Bacterial large subunit ribosomal RNA", at positions 469 to 1998 of the family's 2925-position model. Lineage: Bacteria; Bacillati; Mycoplasmatota; Mollicutes; Mycoplasmatales; Mycoplasmataceae. The record is from RNAcentral.